This 77-nucleotide transfer RNA is filed under the name Candidatus Omnitrophota bacterium. Its description in RNAcentral is "tRNA-Val". It matches the Rfam family "tRNA". From Rfam's summary of the family: Transfer RNA (tRNA) molecules are approximately 80 nucleotides in length. Their secondary structure includes four short double-helical elements and three loops (D, anti-codon, and T loops). The record is from RNAcentral. Lineage: Bacteria; Pseudomonadati; Candidatus Omnitrophota.
GGGCGAUUAGCUCAGUUGGUUAGAGCACUUCCUUUACACGGAAGGGGUCGUAGGUUCGAACCCUACAUCGCCCACCA